This 1269-nucleotide ribosomal RNA is filed under the name Psychrobacter cryohalolentis. RNAcentral describes it as "bacterial SSU rRNA". It matches the Rfam family "Bacterial small subunit ribosomal RNA", at positions 89 to 1356 of the family's 1533-position model. Lineage: Bacteria; Pseudomonadati; Pseudomonadota; Gammaproteobacteria; Moraxellales; Moraxellaceae. The record is from RNAcentral.
CGUCGAGCGGCGGACGGGUGAGUAAUACUUAGGAAUCUACCUAGUAGUGGGGGAUAGCACGGGGAAACUCGUAUUAAUACCGCAUACGACCUACGGGAGAAAGGGGGCAGUUUACUGCUCUCGCUAUUAGAUGAGCCUAAGUCGGAUUAGCUAGAUGGUGGGGUAAAGGCCUACCAUGGCGACGAUCUGUAGCUGGUCUGAGAGGAUGAUCAGCCACACCGGGACUGAGACACGGCCCGGACUCCUACGGGAGGCAGCAGUGGGGAAUAUUGGACAAUGGGGGAAACCCUGAUCCAGCCAUGCCGCGUGUGUGAAGAAGGCCUUUUGGUUGUAAAGCACUUUAAGCAGUGAAGAAGACUCCUCGGUUAAUACCCGUGGACGAUGACAUUAGCUGCAGAAUAAGCACCGGCUAACUCUGUGCCAGCAGCCGCGGUAAUACAGAGGGUGCAAGCGUUAAUCGGAAUUACUGGGCGUAAAGGGAGCGUAGGUGGCUCGAUAAGUCAGAUGUGAAAUCCCCGGGCUCAACCUGGGAACUGCAUCUGAUACUGUUGAGCUAGAGUAUGUGAGAGGAAGGUAGAAUUCCAGGUGUAGCGGUGAAAUGCGUAGAGAUCUGGAGGAAUACCGAUGGCGAAGGCAGCCUUCUGGCAUAAUACUGACACUGAGGCUCGAAAGCGUGGGUAGCAAACAGGAUUAGAUACCCUGGUAGUCCACGCCGUAAACGAUGUCUACUAGUCGUUGGGUCCCUUGAGGACUUAGUGACGCAGCUAACGCAAUAAGUAGACCGCCUGGGGAGUACGGCCGCAAGGUUAAAACUCAAAUGAAUUGACGGGGGCCCGCACAAGCGGUGGAGCAUGUGGUUUAAUUCGAUGCAACGCGAAGAACCUUACCUGGUCUUGACAUAUCUAGAAUCCUGCAGAGAUGCGGGAGUGCCUUCGGGAAUUAGAAUACAGGUGCUGCAUGGCUGUCGUCAGCUCGUGUCGUGAGAUGUUGGGUUAAGUCCCGCAACGAGCGCAACCCUUGUCCUUAGUUACCAGCGGGUUAAGCCGGGAACUCUAAGGAUACUGCCAGUGACAAACUGGAGGAAGGCGGGGACGACGUCAAGUCAUCAUGGCCCUUACGACCAGGGCUACACACGUGCUACAAUGGUAGGUACAGAGGGCAGCUACACAGCGAUGUGAUGCGAAUCUCAAAAAGCCUAUCGUAGUCCAGAUUGGAGUCUGCAACUCGACUCCAUGAAGUAGGAAUCGCUAGUAAUCGCGGAUCAGAAUG